RNAcentral lists this transfer-messenger RNA (365 nucleotides) under Chloroflexota bacterium. It matches the Rfam family "transfer-messenger RNA". From Rfam's summary of the family: Bacterial tmRNA, also known as 10Sa RNA or SsrA, is named for its dual tRNA and mRNA-like properties. Its role is to liberate the mRNA from a stalled ribosome. To accomplish this part of the tmRNA is used as a reading frame that ends in a translation stop signal. Lineage: Bacteria; Bacillati; Chloroflexota. The record is from RNAcentral.
GGGGAUGUCAGGUUUCGACAGGGCUCAGGGACCGGGAAUCGCAGGUCGAGGUCGCCCGCAGGCCUCGUUAAACCGCGGGCAAAGCCAGUAACUGGCAAUAACAGUUACGCUCUCGCCGCCUAAAUAGCGUCGAGCGUCGACACGGCCUCCCCCUCUGGGCCGUGAAGACGUCAUCAGGAGGGGUGCGGCGUCGCCGACUCCGGUGAGCGGCGUCAAAGAGCCGAGAGGCAUCGCCGGAUAGCAAGCGAAGCACCCCGCCGGUUGGGGGCUCGCAGCGCGAAUCGCAAGUAAGCCGGAAAUACCUGUAGGAAGUUCCCGGCGACUCGGUUCUGGACGGGGAGUUCGAUUCUCCCCCAUCUCCACCA